UCGAGCCCCUCUUUGAAAGAUUGAGAAGAUAUUGCCAUACCCAUCGAGAACAAAGCAUUGGUGUUGCGUGCACUUUGCUCGUUCAGAUGGGUUCCCUUCGCUGCCUUCACUCUUUUUCUUUGCAACAAGAAGGGAGUGAAAUAUAAGAGAUCGGCACGGUUUGUGCCAAGGACAACUGUUGUUGAAGUGCAUCGUCUAUUUUUUUUGUACGAUGUAUAUUCUACAAGCAUGAGCGUUUGAAUGACUCUCGGCAAUGGAUAUCUUGGCUCUCGUGUCGAUGAAGAACGUAGCGAAAUGCGACACUUGGUGUGAAUUGCAGAAUCCCGUGAAUCAUCGAGUCUUUGAAUGCAAGUUGCGCUCGAGGCCAUUAGGUCGAGAGCACGUUUGCUUGGGCGUCAUGCUUUGCGUCACGCUAAAUGCCGGCCCACCCUAAAUAGUAUUGUGGACAAUGGUGGACGUGGAGAUUGGCCCUCCGUGCUUUUGAUGUGCGGUUGGUUUAAGUGAUGGUCGUCGUUAGGUUUGCAUGCGGCGAAUGGUGUAUCGAGCUCGUGCUUGAGGUCUUUAGCUGCGUGCAUCAAUCCUACCCAUGACGUACAACCGUCAAAACCGUUGUCGAUGUUUGUGCUUUAUGCAAGCUCGGACC
This 643-nucleotide unclassified non-coding RNA is filed under the name Allium inutile. Its description in RNAcentral is "sequence contains ITS1, 5.8S rRNA gene, ITS2". The stretch from base 243 to 398 matches the Rfam family "5.8S ribosomal RNA". Lineage: Eukaryota; Viridiplantae; Streptophyta; Magnoliopsida; Asparagales; Amaryllidaceae. The record is from RNAcentral.